Molecule: non-coding RNA, 28 nt
Filed under: Rattus norvegicus (Norway rat)
Lineage: Eukaryota; Metazoa; Chordata; Mammalia; Rodentia; Muridae
Source: RNAcentral
UAGACACGAGUGCGUCCUGCGGUACUGG